Molecule: ribosomal RNA, 302 nt
Filed under: uncultured bacterium
Lineage: Bacteria
Description: partial 16S ribosomal RNA
Rfam family: Bacterial small subunit ribosomal RNA
Source: RNAcentral
GCAGCAGCCGCGGUAAUACGUAGGGUGCAAGCGUUAAUCGGAAUUACUGGGCGUAAAGCGUGCGCAGGCGGUUAUAUAAGACAGAUGUGAAAUCCCCGGGCUCAACCUGGGAACUGCAUUUGUGACUGUAUAGCUAGAGUACGGCAGAGGGGGAUGGAAUUCCGCGUGUAGCAGUGAAAUGCGUAGAUAUGCGGAGGAACACCGAUGGCGAAGGCAAUCCCCUGGGCCUGUACUGACGCUCAUGCACGAAAGCGUGGGGAGCAAACAGGAUUAGAUACCCGGGUAGUCCCUGUCUCUUAUAC